Fukomys damarensis (Damara mole-rat) is the source of this 2694-nucleotide long non-coding RNA. RefSeq lists it as uncharacterized. The record is from RefSeq and is a predicted model, not a curated record. The transcript has 3 exons. Lineage: Eukaryota; Metazoa; Chordata; Mammalia; Rodentia; Bathyergidae.
CGAACUCGGGUCCUUGCGCUUGCGAGGCAGGCCACCGAACCACUGAGCUAAAUCCCUGGCCUCUGCAUUUCUCAACCUAUGCACACACCUCAUGUUCCUCUGAGUUGCUUUCCUCCUGUGACUCUACAGAAGUGAAGGGGAAAAUGAACGGAACUCGACACCAUCAUGGACUUCACAAAUAUUGUCUCCUCGCGCAACUACGUUGUACAUGAAGUCCCUGGGGCUCAGUGAAGUGAUUCACGUAGAGUCCUACAGUUUCAAACCGGAGUCCCGACUGAUUCCUACAUCACGCGUGCUUCCUAUGAGGAAGUGAAGCCAGCAAAUGCAUGAACGAUACCAGCAGAGGCAAGAUCUGAGCAUAAAACAAAGAUCUAAGUACCCAGCUAAAUGCAUAGGAGCCAUACUGUACAUGUACAAUGUAGGUGACCCGAAGUUAUUUGCAUGGGAUUAGAGGGGCUUCUCCAUAUCUCUCUAUCUCCCCAAGAUGGAACAUUUCUCAGGAGAUGGAAGAAUUGAUCUACAGGCCUCAGUGGUGAGCAGUCUGUUGCUGUCUUCUCUUAGAGUUCUACAGCGGAGAAGCUCUGCUUCCUUAGCAAACGCACUUAGGAUCACAUUGACAUUUCAUUUCAGAGCAAGCAGUCAUGGAUUAAAGCACCUAUUAUGCAAAAGUCACAGUAUGUGUAGAUUCGAAGGGAAUGGCAGUAAACAGUCAAUUCAUUAAUCAAUUAUUGCUACAAUUCCAAACCAAACUGACAACUCAUAUUAGUUGCAUGAUUUUUUUAGAAAAGUGCAACAACUUUACAUAUACUGAUCUCAUGUUUUUCACAUUGAAGUUUUAAAAAGCUGGUAUUUUCUGUUAGUUAAAUAUUGAUUACUAUUUUUAAAACCGCCCUCAUGACAAUGACUGUACAUAUGCAAAUAGGAUGCAAAAUGAGAGCCACGGCUGUCCAGAUGGAGGCUGAGCAGAACAGAUGCUGCCUUCUAGAUGUGCACUCUGGAGGAAGAGGUAUUCAUCACAGUGAGGCUAACAAUGCAGCUCGUGAUGGUUAUAGGUGGUUUCUAAUUUACAAGAUGACUGACGUACGCAGGACAGUCAAAACACAUUAGACAGAAGUAACGAGCCUCGGCUUCAAGCAGGCAAUUUUCAAGGGAGUGAGGAACAAGGAUAUGGCUUGUCUUGUUCCUUAAUUACUGAGCUAAUUAAUCGCCAGAAGUGAAAUUGUUGCCUCUAGACACCUUAAUAUAGGCACAGUGGAAGGAAAAUACAGAGCUCAGAGCACCAUUCUGACAGAUUAAUAAAAACAUCUCACCGAGGGAAAGUUCUAUCUGCUAAUAUUAUGGUCCUCAAUAUGUCUUUUUCCAUUAAGCUAAGAAAUCUUUUAAGAUACUUUCACUUUUUGUACUUCAUAGAAAGAUUGGUAUUUUUGCUUAGAAUAGUCAAAGCAAGGGAGAAACAUUCCAAGCAAAAUAGACUAUUUUUGUUAGUUAGCAAUGAAGGGCUUCAAUAAGGAAUUUGAAUGAAGUCUAUCGAACUUCAGUCGAUUUUUAAAGGCAAAUUAGGCAUUAUUUGACCAAAAUUUGUGCUCCACACUCAAAUAUUAAGACCACAUUUAUCUCUCACUUUUCUCUGAGUUACAUCUGUGGUGCACUUGAAAUGUUAGCAAGGUCUGCAAAAGAAUCAGAAUGUUGGGGAAGGCAUUAGUCUCACCCAAGCCAGGUGAUAGUGGCAAAUGACAGCAUUUUCAUGAGAGAGAAACCUCACUCCAUGUAAGGUAGCACGAUGAUGUGGAAUUCUGUACCUGUGUGAAAUCCCUUGGAGUUGAGAUCCUAGUAGAGCUGAAUAAAGAUGGAGGAAGAGAGGAGGAUGAGGGAGAAAAGAAGGCGGAGGAGGAACAGGAGGAGGAGAGGAGGAAAAUUGUGAUUUAGUAGAAACUGUAAAUGGCCUCUGUACUGAUGUUGGAGUCCAACUCACUCGAGAAAUGCACCAUGGAAUUCUGGAUAAUGUAAUGCAAUUUCAGACCAGUAUUCAUACACAGGGAAAUGGAGAAUUGGGGCCAUUAUGUAGAUAAUGAAAACUAGAAAGAUUUAAAAGACUAGCAAGAUAAUCUUAAGACUGAGAUGGGUAAAGGGACUACGUGGAGAUAUGGGAAUGCAUAAAAGGACAACUACGGUGGUGGCAUACAAUAAGAACAUGGGAGUCACAUUUUAUAGUAAAACAGAAAUGAAUGUUCAGAGAAAGAGUAUUUUAUUUGUGCUAAUUAGCAGAGUGCUAUACUCAAGAACAUCAGAAUGUACAGUAAUCACAAACAGACCUAGGGAAACUUCACAUUAAAAUUACAAAUUAGAUUUUACUUUUCAAAUUACAUGCAUUUAUGUAUAUUUUUUAAUAAUGGGUAAAAUAUCUUAAAUGACAUGGCAAUUAGAAUUGGAAUUCAGAAAUACUAUUUUCAAGCUUCAAAUCAGGAACAAUUCCACAGGUUGCUUUCACUGUGAAUAAAGGCCAUCAUUUCAACUCUGUCCUGUUAACACGGUAACUUCUAACUACACUGGGUUGAUAGGAACAGCAGCUUUAAGAAUGCAAAGUUCUGAAUCAAGUGCAAGCAUUUAAAACUCUGAUGGGCUCAAAAGAAACUCUCUAUGUAGUUCAGGCUGUCUUUGAACUCACUGUGUAGCCCAGGCUGGCCUCGAACUUGC